UCUCACACUACUCUGGUACGAUUAUUUAAUCUUUAUUUUAGUCCUACUUUUAAGCAUUUUGAUUGGUAUUUAUUUCGGUUUUUUUUCUAAAAACAACCAAUCUGAUCCUUUGGAAUAUCUACAAGGAAAGAAACAAAUGGACGCAUUCCCAGUUGGUGUAUCAAUAACUGCAAGUUUCAAUUGCACAUCCGUUCUUUUAGGCUUCUGUUCCGAAACAUACAGUUUUGGUGCAAACUCAUUUUUAAUGAUUUUUGGCCUAAUUAUAGCCUACUAUGCUAACAAAUUUAUCUGCUUACCUGUAUUUUACAAUCUUGAAAUGGACACAGUUUAUGAAUAUUUGGAAAAAAGGUUUGAUAAAAGGUCAAGACAACUCGCAUCGGGCAUUUUUACAAUUUGCAACAUUUCUUUUCUAUCAGUGACGAUAUAUACGCCAGCUUUGGCCUUAUCUGCAGUCACUGGAUUUCAAUUGCAAUACGUUAUAGUUGGUGUCAGUGGUGUUUGUAUUUUUUAUACGAGU
Molecule: long non-coding RNA, 517 nt
Organism: Tribolium madens (black flour beetle)
Lineage: Eukaryota; Metazoa; Arthropoda; Insecta; Coleoptera; Tenebrionidae
Exons: 3
Source: RefSeq, a predicted model, not a curated record